UACGUAGGGUGCAAGCGUUGUCCGGAAUUAUUGGGCGUAAAGAGCUCGUAGGCGGUCUGUCGCGUCGGCUGUGAAAACUCGGGGCUCAACUCCGAGCUUGCAGUCGAUACGGGCAGGCUAGAGUUCGGCAGGGGAGACUGGAAUUCCUGGUGUAGCGGUGGAAUGCGCAGAUAUCAGGAAGAACACCCGUGGCGAAGGCGGCUCUCUGGAACGCAACUGACGCUGAGACGCGAAAGCGUGGGGAGCAAACAGG
RNAcentral lists this ribosomal RNA (253 nucleotides) under uncultured bacterium. Its description in RNAcentral is "partial 16S ribosomal RNA". It matches the Rfam family "Bacterial small subunit ribosomal RNA", at positions 524 to 776 of the family's 1533-position model. The record is from RNAcentral.